AAAGGUUAAUGGGCCAUGGGUGUAUGGUAACUAGAGAGAGUGUGCAAAAGAUUGCCUUUGGGCCCUGGAACUUUUCAUCCUUUGGCCCAAAUUCUCCAAGAAUUAUCCAAGAAUCGGUUUUAACAGGAAAAAGCCAAGGACUGUGUCAACGCAACAACACCUUUAGUAACCCAGGGAACGAAAUUUUUACGAAGACUUACAGAAACGUCGCGAAGCAACUCGCACUUCAACCACACACACCCUCUCCGUCACCGCAUCGUUGCUAGAAAAAUGGGAUCCGCUUCGAUUCUGCUUCGAUUUGAAUUCAAGAAUGGCUUCCUAUUCUGUCUGACUGAGACGAGGAUGAAGAACUUCGUGUUCGCCAUUGUGGAUUGAGAUGAAGAGAGCGGAAUAAUUGUUGGUCUAUGAAGGUGUUGUUGCGUUGCCGACGAAGAGAAUGAAUCAACGAAGAAUCCAGAGUAAUUUCCGCGAGAUCUCGAACGAAUCUGUAUCCGAUCCGAAGUCCGGCCAAAUCGUAAGCUCCGAUGAUCCUUCUUCUUCUUCUUCUUCUCGUUCUUAGUUUGUUUCUCUGAAUUCUGUGAAACUCUUUUGGCUAUGGAGUUGUGGUUUUUGGUUUUUGCUACCUCUUCAAUCUCUCUUUCUGUUUCAUUCUAUGAAGGUUGUGUGUAGUUAAAAUGGUGAGUGAAGAUUGGUGAGGUUUGAAUGGUUCAAAGUUGACGGAAGGUUUGGUGAUUUGUGAAGUGGAGAUUUUGAGGAGGGUUGUUGAAUGAUGGUGAAGAUGAUGGAGUGAAGUUGGGGGUUCUGUUAAGGGUGGUCUUAUUGAAGGUUGGGGCGUCAAGAAGCUGUUGUGGGCGUGAGGCUCCGUUAGCCGGUUUUCAGAAGAAAAAAUAGUUAUUUUAACUUUCCGUUCCAUCCCCUUUUUUUCUAUUGGAGUUUGUUAUGAGAAGUAAAUCAGCUCGGUUUUGGGAGGUUUUCUUUGUAGGGUAUUCAAGGAUUGGUUUUGUCAUGUGGAGAGCGAUUGGAGGUCCUUUUUCUUUCAAUGUCAGUUGGAAAUCCUGAGUUAGAGUGUGGAUUUGGUUAGUGUCGUGAGGUUGUAACGGUCGGGAUUCAGUUAUCCUUUCUGUCGGAGGUUAGAAUUUGUUUUUUGAAGACACUCUGCUAGUUAUCAAUGUCAGUUACAAUGUGAUUGCAAUUUUACUGGACAUUCUGUUAGGGAGGUUAGAAAUCCGUACAGGUCAUUGAAGGGUUAUUUUGAAUCGGUUAGAGAAGGGUUAGUUUGUUAGUUGUGUAGAAGUUUGUUGGAAGGUUUAUUGAAUUGGUUGAAAUUGUGUACAUUGGUUUUUCUCUGCUGCAGGUCUUUGAAUGCUAUAAAUUAGAAGGAACUUGGAAUUCUGCCGGUUUUUCUCAAAGUUGGUUCUCAGUUUGGAAGUCAAGAGAUUUUGUUCAAUCUUUUGUGUGAGCAGAUAACUUUUUGGAGUUUAUUUCUCUAUUUCAAUUGUGAUGCAGGGUCAUUGGUUUUAUGUUUUUUCUAUUAUGCUCCCAUUGAGAGGUUUUAUGUUUUUUCUAUUAUGCUCCCAUUGAGAGCUUUUUCUUCCAAUAGUGUAGAAGUAUCUAUUUAAAUCGUUCACUGACACAACACGAGGUGAAUCUAUAUCUAUAUAGGAGUAGCUUGCAACUGGUUGAAUAUGAAGUCAUGACUCACAUAUAGUAAUAAGUAGUAGUAUCUAAAAGCAGUACACGCUGACACGUGAAAGCAGAUGUUGAAUAUGAAGUCAUGACUCAUAUAUAUCCAAAAAGCAGUAGAGACACGUGAAAGCAUUACACUGCACUUUAGUUCACUGACACUGACACUAAAACAGUAAGGCAAGAAAACACUAUUUAUAGGACACUACUUAGGGUUAAAGAGUAUUGAAACAGUAAGACUAUUUAAAGGACACCACUGGCACUUAGUGUUAAAAGAGAAACAGUAAGGCAAGAAAACACUAUUUAUAGGACACUACUUAGUGUUAAAGAGUAUUGAAACAGUAAGACUAUUUAAAGGACACCACUGGCACUUAGUGUUAAAAGAGAGUAAAAUACUUCCACUUAUUAAGCCAGUAUGACAUUGAACCAUAUCACAGGAUCCCACAUCACAUCUCUUUUCCCUUCUUCUCUGUAAGAUUAUCAGCAUUGUCCAAAGGGAAAUCGGUUUUCAUUAACUCCCAUUGAAUCACACCCUCUUUCACUUUUGAAAAUGAUGAUGAUCCUUGACCUCUAAGAAAAUUACUUGCCAUUACAUCCAGCUUCUUUGAUAUACCUCUCAAUUCUUCAUAAUCAUCAUCUCUUUCCAGCAUUUUUCUUUUCAGUUUUAGUUGGAACU
This 2359-nucleotide long non-coding RNA is filed under the name Lathyrus oleraceus (garden pea). Its description in RNAcentral is "Pisum sativum (pea) long non-coding RNA (PSAT_LNC011049)". Lineage: Eukaryota; Viridiplantae; Streptophyta; Magnoliopsida; Fabales; Fabaceae. The record is from RNAcentral.